AGUGAACGCUGGCGGUAGGCCUAACACAUGCAAGUCGAACGGCAGCACAGGAGAGCUUGCUCUCUGGGUGGCGAGUGGCGGACGGGUGAGGAAUACAUCGGAAUCUACUUUUUCGUGGGGGAUAACGUAGGGAAACUUACGCUAAUACCGCAUACGACCUACGGGUGAAAGCAGGGGAUCUUCGGACCUUGCGCGAUUGAAUGAGCCGAUGUCGGAUUAGCUAGUUGGCGGGGUAAAGGCCCACCAAGGCGACGAUCCGUAGCUGGUCUGAGAGGAUGAUCAGCCACACUGGCACUGAGACACGGUCCAGACUCCUACGGGAGGCAGCAGUGGGGAAUAUUGGACAAUGGGCGCAAGCCUGAUCCAGCCAUACCGCGUGGGUGAAGAAGGCCUUCGGGUUGUAAAGCCCUUUUGUUGGGAAAGAAAUCCAGCUGGUUAAUACCCGGUUGGGAUGACGGUACCCAAAGAAUAAGCACCGGCUAACUUCGUGCCAGCAGCCGCGGUAA
Molecule: ribosomal RNA, 506 nt
Filed under: uncultured bacterium
Lineage: Bacteria
Description: partial 16S ribosomal RNA
Rfam family: Bacterial small subunit ribosomal RNA
Source: RNAcentral